This 919-nucleotide long non-coding RNA is filed under the name Homo sapiens (human). RNAcentral describes it as "survival associated mitochondrial melanoma specific oncogenic non-coding RNA". Lineage: Eukaryota; Metazoa; Chordata; Mammalia; Primates; Hominidae. The record is from RNAcentral.
GGGCAGACACACUGAAGUCGCUAGACAUUUGAGGAACACAUCCGGGGAAGAAGACACAGGUGGCUGGUCAUGGAGAGCCCGCUGGGGGAAGAGCACACAGACAGGCACCGGCAGGCCAUUGACCAGCGGGACAAGGUGGGCUCAAUGUCAUCACAAGGGUGCUUAAGAGGGAAAGAGGAAGCCAUGAGGGUCAGAGUCAAAGGAAGACUUGAAGAUACUACACUGCGGACUUUAAAGAUGAAGGAAGGGGCGAAAACCAAGAAUGUGGGAAGCCUCUAGAAGCUAGAGAAGGCAAGGAAACAAAUUUUCCACUAGAGCCUCCAGAAGGAACACAGCCCUGCUGACCCACUGUAAUGUCUGACCUCUAGAUGUGUAAGGGUAGUAAGACUGAAAGUCUCAGAAAGGCACUGUUAAAUUCUUAUUCCUCAACUAUGCAACUCAAAACUGGGGUCCUCAGCAGUGAGCGAGGGGUGAGAGAAGACACUGUAUAAACAUGGCACAUCCUCCUGGAAAGUCAACUUUACUCAAAGAUCUUGGAUCUUAACAUUGAUAGCAAAACAAAAGAUGCAGAGGAAAAGGAGUGAGAGAGGCAGAAAACUCAAGAAUGUUUAAUUCCUUGGGGCUGUUUAGUCAAUUGUGAGAAGAGGUGGAAGAUGACCUAAGACUGUUGAGGUCAUGAGCUUGCCCCAUUCUUGGUGAAAGGGGAGAAGAUGGGGCUGGAAGAGGCCUUGAGCUUCCUGUAGAUAACACCAUGGGCUAAGAUCUACAUAGUUACAAAGGGCAUGUUAUUUUAUGAUAAAAUCUGUGAACUCCAGAAUGUUUGCCAGUUGGCUGAUGUGGUAAAGUCCGAGGCAUAUUGUCACUUAAAAGAAUUUAGAGAAAAAGAUAUUUUGGAAUAAAUACCAUAGUUUUAUGUUAA